UACGGAGGGUGCAAGCGUUGUCCGGAUUUAUUGGGUUUAAAGGGUGCGUAGGCGGCCCGUUAAGUCAGCGGUGAAAUCCCGGGGCUCAACCCCGGAACUGCCGUUGAUACUGGCGGGCUUGAGUUCGGUCGAGGCGGGCGGAACUGGCGGUGUAGCGGUGAAAUGCAUAGAUACCAUCCAGAACCCCGAUUGCGAAGGCAGCUGCCUAGACUGUAACUGACGCUGAGGCACGAAAGCGUGGGGAGCGAACAGG
This 253-nucleotide ribosomal RNA is filed under the name uncultured bacterium. Its description in RNAcentral is "partial 16S ribosomal RNA". It matches the Rfam family "Bacterial small subunit ribosomal RNA", at positions 524 to 776 of the family's 1533-position model. The record is from RNAcentral.